GAUGAACGCUGGCGGCGUGCCUAAUACAUGCAAGUCGAGCGAACAGACGAGGAGCUUGCUCCUCUGACGUUAGCGGCGGACGGGUGAGUAACACGUGGAUAACCUACCUAUAAGACUGGGAUAACUUCGGGAAACCGGAGCUAAUACUGGAUAAUAUAUUGAACCGCAUGGUUCAAUAGUGAAAGACGGUUUUGCUGUCACUUAUAGAUGGAUCCGCGCCGCAUUAGCUAGUUGGUAAGGUAACGGCUUACCAAGGCAACGAUGCGUAGCCGACCUGAGAGGGGGAUCGGCCACACUGGAACUGAGACACGGUCCAGACUCCUACGGGAGGCAGCGGUAGGGAAUCUUCCGCGAUGGGCGAAAGCCUGACGGAGCAACGCUGCGUGAGUGAUGAAGGUCUUCGGAUCGUAAAACUCUGUUAUUAGGGAAGAACAAAUGUGUAAGUAACUAUGCACGUCUUGACGGUACCUAAUCAGAAAGCCACGGCUAACUACGUG
This 497-nucleotide ribosomal RNA is filed under the name uncultured bacterium. Its description in RNAcentral is "partial 16S ribosomal RNA". It matches the Rfam family "Bacterial small subunit ribosomal RNA", at positions 28 to 507 of the family's 1533-position model. The record is from RNAcentral.